AUGGAUUUGGGGCUGAUGUGGCUUUUCCUUGUUGCUCUUUUAAAAGGUGUCCAGUGUGAAGUGAAGCUGAUGGAGUCUGGGGGUGGCCAGAUACAGCCUGGGGGAUCCGUGAGACUCUCCUGUGCAGCCUCUGGAUUCACAUUCAGUGACUACUGGAUGACCUGGAUCAGACAGGCUCCAAGGAAGGGGCUGUUGUGGGUUGGAGAAAUUAAUCCAGGUAGUGGUACCAAAAACUAUGCCCCAUCCCUGAAGGACCGCUUCACCAUCUCCAGAGACAAUGCCAAGAACACACUGUACCUGCAAAUGAGCAGUGUGAGAUCUGAGGACACCGCCACCUAUUAUUGUACUACAGGCACA
This is a non-coding RNA of Onychomys torridus (southern grasshopper mouse), 357 nucleotides long. The record is from the annotation of a RefSeq genome assembly. NCBI's taxonomy places the organism in Eukaryota, Metazoa, Chordata, Mammalia, Rodentia, Cricetidae.